CACGCUGAAAACUAUGGUUCUCGUUCGAUCCCUGAAGUUAAACAACGUAGAACCUGUCCAGUACUUAGAUGGGGACCUCUUGGGAACACCGGAUACUGU
Non-coding RNA from Acanthosepion pharaonis, 99 nucleotides. The record is from the annotation of a GenBank genome assembly. Lineage: Eukaryota; Metazoa; Mollusca; Cephalopoda; Sepiida; Sepiidae.